CACCCGGCUAACUACCGUGCCCAGCAGCCGCGGUAAUACGGACGGGUGCGAGCGUUAAUCGGAAUUACUGGGCGUAAAGCGCAUGCAGGCGGCUUGUUAAGUCAGAUGUGAAAGACCCGGGGCGUUAACCUCGGAAUUGCAUUUGAAACUGGCAGGCUAGAGUCUUGUAGAGGGGGGUAGGAAUUUACUAGGUGUAGCGGUGAAAUAGCGUAGAGAUCUGUAAGGAAUACCAGUGGCGAAGGCGGCCCCCCUCGGACAAAGACUGACGCUCAGAUGCGAAAGCGUGGGGGAGCAAACAGGAUUAGAUACCCCUGGUAG
RNAcentral lists this ribosomal RNA (318 nucleotides) under uncultured bacterium. Its description in RNAcentral is "bacterial SSU rRNA". It matches the Rfam family "Bacterial small subunit ribosomal RNA", at positions 491 to 793 of the family's 1533-position model. The record is from RNAcentral.